UCUUCAGGUUGGAUCAUUUGAAGAAUCUGAAUCCUUUAUGGCUCAAAAUGAUCUUAUUAGAGGGAAUGAAACCAUGGAGUCAAAAUUAUGUUGUUGAAAUUGAAAAUUUGAGGCUCUGAAUAAAUCUACGAACACAAGAAUGAAUAGACUCAGAGAAAAUGCUAUUAUUACAGAGUUAAUAAAAAGCAAGAGAAAAUUCAGAGCCAGCUAUAUCACAGCAGCAGAGUAAAAGCAAACAGCUGGUACAUAAACAUGAUUGGAGAUUCAUUAGAUCAUGAAUAUAUAUUCACACUUACCUGACAUUCCAAGGUGAGAAAGUUUUAGUUAUUGUCAGUGCUAUAGAGUUGCAAUAGCUCAUUGGACCCAAAGCUGCUUGAAAUAUUAUAAACAAGACAUCUAAGGUAUCCUUAAGGAGAAAAAGGAAACAACAGUAGAUGAAUCCAAAAAUAUAAAAAAAUAAAUAAACAAAUGAAGCUAUCCA
This 481-nucleotide long non-coding RNA is filed under the name Vulpes vulpes (red fox). RNAcentral describes it as "lncRNA (ENSVVUG00000021148.1)". Lineage: Eukaryota; Metazoa; Chordata; Mammalia; Carnivora; Canidae. The record is from RNAcentral.